This 535-nucleotide unclassified non-coding RNA is filed under the name Hevea brasiliensis (rubber tree). The record is from RNAcentral. Lineage: Eukaryota; Viridiplantae; Streptophyta; Magnoliopsida; Malpighiales; Euphorbiaceae.
AUGCUUCACGGUAGCUAGCUUAUACUAGGUUUCAAUGUUGUGGACUUUGUACAGUUCUUCUAUGAAGUAAUAAAUAGAUGUUAAACUUUCUUCAUCAGUUAUGUAUGUUGCUUACAAUUCUUGUUAAUUACUUAAUUUGCUUGGCCGGUGUUAAUGGGCACAAUAAAUGAGAAGUUCAAAAACCUUGUGGAAAUAUGAAAUUUGGUGGUUGUGAUUCCAUGAAUCAAAAUUCUCAUGGGUAGUGCUUCAAAGAAAUGACUUGACUUUGGCUCGUGUUAGAAAAUUAAACUAGAUAUUUUAUGAGCGAAUAAUAGAAGUUAAGAGAAUAUUCACAUUUCCUAGUAUAACUUAUGUGAUAAACACCCUUUAAAGUGUUUACUGCCUGCAGGUUGAUGAGAGUUUCUAAAAGGACAAAUCACUUUGUCAUGAUCAAACUUUAUGAAGUGUCACAGACAGCAAUGUCUGUUUUCAAAUCAAACAAAAGAAAUAUUAUUACAUAGGUGAAAGUCUUAGGCUGAUUCUUUUGUUGGUGAAA